UCAGCUUCCCCACAACCACUCCAAAGAACAGAGCUUUGGGUAUUGCUUCAAUAAAAACGUGUAGCUGCAGUUUAAGAACCACUGCAUUCUUUAGGAUCGGUUUAUAAUAACUCAUCAUACCACAAAGAAUCACAGUUUAAGGCCAUCUAUCAUGUGCACUGUGUAGUAAACAAGACCUUGCCCACAGCUCCCCCAUCAAGCCACCUCCAAGCGUGGACUGCCAGACCCACCAGAGAAGACUAUACAACUUCAGUAUAAAUUUCCUGGUUUCUGAUGUGAUCUGCAAAAAAAGGUCUUAUAAACCUGAAAUGGAUAAAGGCAAUGCUAAAUAGAAAGAGGGAUGAGAAAAAGUGGUAAGCUCAGCCCCAUCUCUACUGAUUGACUCCGAUUCUCAGCUUUGGCAGUAAUAGUUAGCU
Molecule: long non-coding RNA, 416 nt
Filed under: Felis catus (domestic cat)
Lineage: Eukaryota; Metazoa; Chordata; Mammalia; Carnivora; Felidae
Description: lncRNA (ENSFCAG00000049187.1)
Source: RNAcentral